This is a non-coding RNA of Cinara cedri, 202 nucleotides long. The record is from the annotation of a GenBank genome assembly. NCBI's taxonomy places the organism in Eukaryota, Metazoa, Arthropoda, Insecta, Hemiptera, Aphididae.
UUUGAGAUCAUUAAGACAUGAGUUUCCAUAACACUCUACUAGAUUUUAUGUUAGGCCAAAAAAAAUAAGCAAAUACUUGAAGUCUUGAAUCCUACUUAUAGUCUUUUUACUUACAUUUAACGUGGUAGGUUAGGUUAGGUUAUUGGGUUGGUAGGUAAUUUGAUCAGUAACUCAUCAUACAUAGGUACGUAUAGUAUAGUUU